AGUUGAGCGGAGAUAUAUGGAGCUUGCUUUAUAUAACUUAGCAGCGAACGGGUGAGUAACACGUAGAUAAUCUAUCCUAUACUGGGGGAUAGCCCGAUGAAAGUUGGAUUAAUACCGCAUAUAGCUAUAUAGUUGCAUGAUUAUGUAGUGAAAGAUUUAUUGGUAUAGGAGGAGUCUGCGGCACAUUAGCUAGUAGGUGAGGUAAAGGCUUACCUAGGCGACGAUGUGUAGCCGGUCUGAGAGGAUGAACGGCCACAAUGGAACUGAGACACGGUCCAUACUCCUACGGGAGGCAGCAGUGGGGAAUAUUGCACAAUGGGGGAAACCCUGAUGCAGCAACGCCGCGUGAGUGAAGAAGGUUUUCGGAUUGUAAAGCUCUGUUAGCAGGGAAGAGGAAGGACGGUACCUGCAGAGGAAGCCACGGCUAACUACGUGCCAGCAGCCGCGGUAAUACGUAGGUGGCAAGCGUUGUUCGGAAUAACUGGGCGUAAAGGAUGCGUAGGCGGUUAAACAAGUUAUAUGUUAAAUAUAUAGGCUUAACCUGUAGAAAGCAUAUAAAACUGUUUAACUAGAGUGCAGGAGAGGUAAGUGGAAUUCCUAGUGUAGCGGUGAAAUGCGUAGAGAUUAGGAAGAACACCAGUGGCGAAGGCGACUUACUGGACUGUAACUGACGCUGAGGCAUGAGAGCAUGGGGAGCAAACAGGAUUAGAUACCCUGGUAGUCCAUGCUGUAAACGAUGGGUACUANGUGUGGGUUGUGAAUNACAAUUCGUGCCGUCGCAAA
RNAcentral lists this ribosomal RNA (783 nucleotides) under uncultured bacterium. RNAcentral describes it as "bacterial SSU rRNA". It matches the Rfam family "Bacterial small subunit ribosomal RNA", at positions 60 to 855 of the family's 1533-position model. The record is from RNAcentral.